RNAcentral lists this long non-coding RNA (346 nucleotides) under Pan troglodytes (chimpanzee). RNAcentral describes it as "long non-coding RNA NONPTRT005057". The record is from RNAcentral. Lineage: Eukaryota; Metazoa; Chordata; Mammalia; Primates; Hominidae.
UGGGGACGUUGCCGGGGCCCUGCGUUGCCCAGAGGUGCCACCUCUUUGAGCUGCAGCCGGGCGAGAAGAUCCGCAAGAUGAAGAAGCUGCGGAGAACUUGGUCGAGAGUUUCAGCCGCAUUGCUUUGAAGAAAGGUGACACCACCUUUGAUAAGAUGGAAAGCGUUCGCUGUCAAAAGGAAGAUGACCAUCUUUUACUGCCCAACGACAUCUUUCUACCAAUGUGAACAGAGACUAGCAGCACAGUGAUCACCUGCAGAUAGACCUGGCUUUAUCUGUACAUAACACCAAAAGAAAGAACCUGGAUUCCACAAGGAAAUAAAGAUUUUCAGUCCCUGCAAGAAUUC